Molecule: ribosomal RNA, 452 nt
Filed under: uncultured bacterium
Lineage: Bacteria
Description: bacterial SSU rRNA
Rfam family: Bacterial small subunit ribosomal RNA
Source: RNAcentral
AGCGAACGCUGGCGGCAGGCUUAACACAUGCAAGUCGAGCGGGCGUAGCAAUACGUCAGCGGCAGACGGGUGAGUAACGCGUGGGAACAUACCUUUUGGUUCGGAACAACACAGGGAAACUUGUGCUAAUACCGGAUAAGCCCUUACGGGGAAAGAUUUAUCGCCGAAAGAUUGGCCCGCGUCUGAUUAGCUAGUUGGUGAGGUAACGGCUCACCAAGGCGACGAUCAGUAGCUGGCUGAGAGGAUGAUCAGCCACAUUGGGACUGAGACACGGCCCAAACUCCUACGGGAGGCAGCAGUGGGGAAUAUUGGACAAUGGGCGCAAGCCUGAUCCAGCCAUGCCGCGUGAGUGAUGAAGGCCCUAGGGUUGUAAAGCUCUUUUGUGCGGGGAAGAUAAUGACGGUACCGCAAGAAUAAGCCCCGGCUAACUUCGUGCCAGCCGCCGCUGUAAG